AUUAACGCUGGCGGCGUGCCUAACACAUGCAAGUCGAACGAACCUUUUAGACGGAUUUCCUUCUGGGAUGAAGGGUUUAACACUGAAUGGCGGACGGGAGAAUAACGCGUGGGCAACCUGCCCCCUACCGGGGGACAACACCCGGAAACGGCUGCUAAUACCCUAUACGUUUUACCGACCGCAUGGACCUUAAAACAAAACACCGGUGGUACUGGAUGGGCCCGCUUCGGAUUAUCACGUUGGCGGGGUGCCCGCCCACCAAGGCGACGAUCAAUAGCCAGCCGGAGAGGGCGGCCGGACACAUUGGGACUAAUACACCGCCAAGACUCCUGCGGGAGGCAGCCGUGGGGAAUAAUGCACUGAGGGGGAAACCCCGCUGCAGCGACGCCGCGUUGAGCGAAGAAUACCUCUGUAUGUAAGGCUCUGUCAACAGGGAACAAGAUGACGGUACCUGACUAAGAAGCCCCGGCUAACUACGUGCCAGCAGCCGCGGUAAUACGUAGGGGGCAAGCGUUAUCCGGAUUUACUGGGUGUAAAGGGAGCGCAGGCGGCACGUCAAGUCAGAUGUGAAAGCCCGGGGCUCAACCCCGGGACUGCUUUGGAAACUACCGGGCUGGAGUGUCGGAGGGGUAAGCGGAAUUCUUGGUGUAGCGGUGAAAUGCGUAGAUAUCAGGAGGAACACCAGUGGCGAAGGCGGCUUGCUGGACGUUAACUGACGUUGAGGCUCGAAAGCGUGGGGAGCA
This 743-nucleotide ribosomal RNA is filed under the name uncultured bacterium. Its description in RNAcentral is "bacterial SSU rRNA". It matches the Rfam family "Bacterial small subunit ribosomal RNA", at positions 29 to 770 of the family's 1533-position model. The record is from RNAcentral.